GAUGAAGAACGUAGCGAAAUACGAUACUUGGUGUGAAUUGCAGAAUCCCGUGAACCAUCGAGUCUUUGAACGCAAGUUGCGCCCGAAGCCAUUAGGCCGAGGGCACGCCUGCCUGGGCGUCACACGUCGUUGCCCCCCCAUCUACUCCUUCGGGAUUGCGGGGGGCGGAUGAUGGCCUCCCGUGCGCCUCGUCGCGCGGUUGGCAUAAAUGCCAAGUCCUCGGCGACGCACGCCACGACAAUCGGUGGUUGCGAAACCUCGGUUGCCCGUCGUGUGCGGUCGUCGCGCAUCGAGGGCUCGAAAAAAUUGUCGGGCUCCGGCUCGGCUUUCAACGCGACCCCAGGUCAGGCGGGGUUACCCGCUGAAUUUAAGCAUAUCAAUAAGCGGAGGA
Molecule: unclassified non-coding RNA, 391 nt
Filed under: soil metagenome
Description: partial contains 5.8S ribosomal RNA, internal transcribed spacer 2, and large subunit ribosomal RNA
Rfam family: 5.8S ribosomal RNA (bases 1-122)
Source: RNAcentral